GACGAACCGUGCGAACGUUGUUCGGACUCACUGGGCUUAAAGGGCGCGUAGGCGGUUCAUCAAGUCAGGGGUGAAAUCUUUCGGCUCAACCGGAAAAGUGCCCCUGAUACUGAUGAUCUCGAGGGAGGUAGGGGUCCGCGGAACUUCUGGUGGAGCGGUGAAAUGCGUUGAUAUCAGAAGGAACGCCGGUGGCGAAAGCGGCGGACUGGAUCUCUUCUGACGCUGAGGCGCGAAAGCCAGGGGAGCAAACGGG
RNAcentral lists this ribosomal RNA (253 nucleotides) under uncultured bacterium. RNAcentral's name for it is "partial 16S ribosomal RNA". It matches the Rfam family "Bacterial small subunit ribosomal RNA", at positions 524 to 776 of the family's 1533-position model. The record is from RNAcentral.